UGGGGAAUAUUGGACAAUGGGCGCAAGCCUGAUCCAGCAAUGCCGCGUGUGUGAAGAAGGCCUUCGGGUUGUAAAGCACUUUUAUCAGGAGCGAAACGCUGUCGGCUAAUACCCGGCGGAACUGACGGUACCUGAGGAAUAAGCACCGGCUAACUUCGUGCCAGCAGCCGCGGUAAUACGAAGGGUGCAAGCGUUAAUCGGAAUUACUGGGCGUAAAGCGUGCGUAGGCGGUUUCUUAAGUCUGCUGUGAAAUCCCCGGGCUCAACCUGGGAAUGGCAGUGGAUACUGGGAGGCUAGAGUGUGUCAGAGGGUGGUGGAAUUCCCGGUGUAGCGGUGAAAUGCGUAGAGAUCGGGAGGAACAUCAGUGGCGAAGGCGGCCACCUGGGACAACACUGACGCUGAGGCACGAAAAGCGUGGGGAGCAAACAGGAUUAGAUACCCUGGUAGUCCACGCCCUAAAACGAUGCGAACUGGAUGUUGGUCUCAACUCGGAGAUCAGUGUCGAAGCUAACGCGUUAAGUUCGCCGCCUGGGGAGUACGGUCGCAAGACUGAAACUCAAAGGAAUUGAC
Molecule: ribosomal RNA, 570 nt
Filed under: uncultured bacterium
Lineage: Bacteria
Description: partial 16S ribosomal RNA
Rfam family: Bacterial small subunit ribosomal RNA
Source: RNAcentral